CAUAUGCUUGUUUCAAAGAUUAAGCCAUGCAUGUAUAAGUACAGACUGCACUAAAGUGAAACCGCAAAUGGCUCAUUAAAUCAGUCAUAACUUACUAGAUAUCGUCCCAGUUUCCUUGGAUAACUGUGGAAAAUCCAGAGCUAAUACAUGCACUUAAGCUCCGAUAAUCUAUGUUCUUAACGGGAUAUGGAUAGGAAGAGCGCAAUUAUUAGAUUUCAAAAAGUGUCCGAUGAUCGUAUGAUUUUAUUUCGGUAAUUUCGUUCAUAUACGACUCGUUCAUAAUUUUUGGAUGACUCCGGAUAAUUCUAGCCGAGCGCUAAUGGUCUAUCAGUACCAGCGCCGUAUCUUUCAAGUGACUGCCUUAUCAGCUUUCGAUUGUAAGUUAAAUGCUUACUAUGGCUGUAACGGGUAACGGGGAAUCAGGGUUCGAUUCCGGAGAGGGAGCCUGAGAAACGGCUACCACAUCUAAGGAAGGCAGCAGGCACGUAAAUUACCCAAUCCCAGCUUGGGGAGGUAGUGACGAAAAAUACUGGUGUACGACUCUAUUUAGAGUUCAUGCACCUUAAAUAAAAAAAGGAAUGAGUUCAUUCUAAAUACUUGGACAAUGAUCCAUUGGAGGGCAAGUCUGGUGCCAGCA
This 637-nucleotide ribosomal RNA is filed under the name Jaera tyleri. RNAcentral describes it as "bacterial SSU rRNA". It matches the Rfam family "Eukaryotic small subunit ribosomal RNA", at positions 25 to 572 of the family's 1831-position model. The record is from RNAcentral. Lineage: Eukaryota; Metazoa; Arthropoda; Malacostraca; Isopoda; Janiridae.